AUGAACGCUGGCGGCGUGCCUAACACAUGCAAGUCGAACGGAGUCGUUUUGGAAAUCUCUUCGGAGAUGGAAUUCUCGACUUAGUGGCGGACGGGUGAGUAACGCGUGAGCAAUCUGCCUUUAAGAGGGGGAUAACAGUCGGAAACGGCUGCUAAUACCGCAUAAAGCAUUACAUUCGCAUGUUUUUGAUGCCAAAGGAGCAAUCCGCUUUUAGAUGAGCUCGCGUCUGAUUAGCUAGUUGGCGGGGUAACGCCCACCAAGGCGACGAUCAGUAGCCGGACUGAGAGGUUGAACGGCCACAUUGGGACUGAGACACGGCCCAGACUCCUACGGGAGGCAGCAGUGGGGAAUAUUGCGCAAUGGGGGAAACCCUGACGCAGCAACGCCGCGUGAUUGAAGAAGGCCUUCGGGUUGUAAAGAUCUUUAAUCAGGGACGAAACAAAUGACGGUACCUGAAGAAUAAGCGCCGGCUAACUACGUG
RNAcentral lists this ribosomal RNA (481 nucleotides) under uncultured bacterium. Its description in RNAcentral is "partial 16S ribosomal RNA". It matches the Rfam family "Bacterial small subunit ribosomal RNA", at positions 29 to 507 of the family's 1533-position model. The record is from RNAcentral.